RNAcentral lists this transfer RNA (65 nucleotides) under Sphaerodactylus townsendi. Its description in RNAcentral is "tRNA-Ala". It matches the Rfam family "tRNA". From Rfam's summary of the family: Transfer RNA (tRNA) molecules are approximately 80 nucleotides in length. The record is from RNAcentral. Lineage: Eukaryota; Metazoa; Chordata; Lepidosauria; Squamata; Sphaerodactylidae.
GUGGCUCCACGGUAGAGCAUCUGCUUGGCAUGCAGGAGGUCCCAGGUUCAAUCCCAGCAUCUCCA